This 190-nucleotide ribosomal RNA is filed under the name uncultured Actinomycetales bacterium. RNAcentral's name for it is "partial 16S ribosomal RNA". It matches the Rfam family "Bacterial small subunit ribosomal RNA", at positions 140 to 334 of the family's 1533-position model. Lineage: Bacteria; Bacillati; Actinomycetota; Actinomycetes; Actinomycetales. The record is from RNAcentral.
GGGGUAAGCCUGGGAAACUGGGUCUAAUACCGGAUAGGACCAUGCCUUAGUGUGUGUGGUGGAAAGUUUUUCGGUGUAGGAUGAGCCCGCGGCCUAUCAGCUUGUUGGUGGGGUAAUGGCCCACCAAGGCGGCGACGGGUAGCCGGACUGAGAGGUUGGUCGGCCACAUUGGGACUGAGAUACGGCCCAG